Molecule: ribosomal RNA, 861 nt
Filed under: Comamonas sp.
Lineage: Bacteria; Pseudomonadati; Pseudomonadota; Betaproteobacteria; Burkholderiales; Comamonadaceae
Description: bacterial SSU rRNA
Rfam family: Bacterial small subunit ribosomal RNA
Source: RNAcentral
CAUCGGGGCGGGCUCUAUAACAUGCAAGUCGAACGGUAACAGGUCUUCGGAUGCUGACGAGUGGCGAACGGGAGAGUGGUACAUCGGAACGUGCCUAGUAGUGGGGGAUAGGUGCUCGAAAGGGUAGCUAAUACCGCAUGAGAUCUACGGAUGAAAGCAGGGGACCUUCGGGCCUUGUGCUACUAGAGCGGCUGAGGGCAGGUUGGGUAGUUGGUGGGGUAAAGGCUUACCAAGCCUGCGAUCUGUAGCUGGUCUGAGAGGACGACCAGCCACACUGGGACUGAGACACGGCCCAGACUCCUACGGGAGGCAGCAGUGGGGAAUUUUGGACAAUGGGCGAAAGCCUGAUCCAGCAAUGCCGCGUGCAGGAUGAAGGCCCUCGGGUUGUAAACUGCUUUUGUACGGAACGUUUAGCCUGGGCCCACCUCCCCCCGGGUCAUGACGGAACCGUAUUUAAUACUUUUUCGGCUAACUACGUGCCAACAGCCGCGGUAAUACGUAGGGGGCAAUUUUUUUUUUUGAAUUACUGGGCGUAAAGCGUCCCCCGGCGGUUUUGUAAGACAGUGGGUGAAAUCCCCGGGCUCCACCUGGGAACUGCCAUUGGUGACUGCAAAGCUAGAGUGCGGCAGAUUUUGGAUGGACUUCCCCGUGUAGCAGUGAAAUGCGUAGAAUAUGCGGAGGACAACCGGUUGGUAAAGGCAAUCCCCUGGGGCUUGCCCUGACGCUUCAUGCCUCGAAAUCCGUUGCGGCGCGCAUAACAGGGAUUAGAUCCCCUGGGUACGUCCCACCCGCCCCAAAUCGGAUGUUCAACUGGCUCGGUUCCGGGUCUUUAGCUGACUCGCUCUUCCGGCGACUCUGACC